UAAACGACUCUCGGCAACGGAUAUCUCGGCUCUUGCAUCGAUGAAGAACGUAGCGAACUGCGAUACUUGGUGUGAAUUGCAGAAUCCCGUGAACCAUCGAGUCUUUGAACGCAAGUUGCGCCCGAAGCCAUUAGGCCAAGGGCACGUCUGCCUGGGCGUCACGC
Molecule: ribosomal RNA, 164 nt
Filed under: Tripterospermum chinense
Lineage: Eukaryota; Viridiplantae; Streptophyta; Magnoliopsida; Gentianales; Gentianaceae
Description: 5.8S ribosomal RNA
Rfam family: 5.8S ribosomal RNA
About the family: 5.8S ribosomal RNA (5.8S rRNA) is a component of the large subunit of the eukaryotic ribosome.
Source: RNAcentral